This 735-nucleotide ribosomal RNA is filed under the name uncultured bacterium. RNAcentral's name for it is "bacterial SSU rRNA". It matches the Rfam family "Bacterial small subunit ribosomal RNA", at positions 8 to 794 of the family's 1533-position model. The record is from RNAcentral.
AGAGUUUGAUCAUGGCUCAGAACGAACGCUGGCGGCAGGCCUAACACAUGCAAGUCGAGCGCCCGCAAGGGAGCGGCAGACGGGUGAGUAACGCGUGGGAACGUGCCCUUUGGUUCGGAAUAUUCCCGGGAAACUGGGAGCAAAACCGGAUAAGCCCUUCGGGGAAAAGUUUACGCCAAAGGAUCGGCCCGCGUUAGAUUAGGUAGUUGGUGGGGUAACGGCCUACCAAGCCUACGAUCUAUAGCUGAUCUGAGAGGAUGAUCAGCCACACUGGGACUGAGACACGGCCCAGACUCCUACGGGAGGCAGCAGUGGGGAAUCUUGGACAAUGGGCGCAAGCCUGAUCCAGCCAUGCCGCGUGGAUGACUGAAGGCCCUAGGGUUGUAAAGUCCUUUCGACGGGGACGAUAAUGACGGUACCCGUAGAAGAAGCCCCGGCUAACUUCGUGCCAGCAGCCGCGGUAAUACGAAGGGGGCUAGCGUUGUUCGGAUUUACUGGGCGUAAAGGGCGCGUAGGCGGAUUUUUAAGUCGGGGGUGAAAUCCCGGAGCUCAACUCCGGAACUGCCUUCGAUACUGGAAGUCUGGAGCACGGUAGAGGUGAGUGGAAUUCCGAGUGUAGAGGUGAAAUUCGUAGAUAUUCGGAGGAACACCAGUGGCGAAGGCGGCUCACUGGACCGUUGCUGACGCUGAGGCGCGAAAGCGUGGGGAGCAAACAGGAUUAGAUACCCCGGUAGU